RNAcentral lists this ribosomal RNA (276 nucleotides) under Escherichia coli. RNAcentral's name for it is "partial 23S ribosomal RNA". It matches the Rfam family "Bacterial large subunit ribosomal RNA", at positions 62 to 374 of the family's 2925-position model. Lineage: Bacteria; Pseudomonadati; Pseudomonadota; Gammaproteobacteria; Enterobacterales; Enterobacteriaceae. The record is from RNAcentral.
UAAUCUGCGAUAAGCGUCGGUAAGGUGAUAUGAACCGUUAUAACCGGCGAUUUCCGAAUGGGGAAACCCAGUGUGUUUCGACACACUAUCAUUAACUGAAUCCAUAGGUUAAUGAGGCGAACCGGGGGAACUGAAACAUCUAAGUACCCCGAGGAAAAGAAAUCAACCGAGAUUCCCCCAGUAGCGGCGAGCGAACGGGGAGCAGCCCAGAGCCUGAAUCAGUGUGUGUGUUAGUGGAAGCGUCUGGAAAGGCGCGCGAUACAGGGUGACAGCCCC